UCUUGAGUCCCCCGGUCCCAUCUUUCUCUUCAGUCUGUGUCUGUGUCUUCUUCAAGCUUGCGGCACCCGUCACCUCGAGUCGCCGAGCUGGUCUCGGCAAGCAGAGAGGAAUAUUAACAAAAAUAUGAAUAGUGAUUUCUUUAAGCGAUGGGAUUUGGGGCACCCGUCCACUGCUUGAGGCCAAACAUCAGGGCACAUUCCUCACCGAUUUUCAACUCUAUCCUACACACCUGCUGCUUCUGCCGUCUUUGUAACUGAGGGACACCAGGCACAGGAGAAGAUGGAAAUACCAUAAUGGAAACAGGAUAAUUAAGCACGAGUUUAUGAACUGUUUAGUUUCUGAGAUAUUUAGACCACAAGUCCUCUUCCCUCACCUGGCUCAUUCAGCUUCCAGACCCUGGCAGGCAGAAAUGUACCUUCCACGCAGGAGACUGAAAGAACUUCUUUAAGGUUUCUGACCAGUCCAAGAGAGAAAACUUGAAGAUGUAACAUUGAGAGUUCCUCAAGGAAAUAAGCCAGCCAGAUCACCCUUGAAUUGUGGGGCAAAGAGACAACCCUCCAAAUGUCUGGAAUGGAUCAAGGAACAUUUUUACAAAAGCUCAAGAGUCAGAAAGAUACUGAACUUCUUAAAAUGAACUUCUGGAAGCCGGAAGGUAAUGCCUUCAAAUACUAUAGACCUCUGUUUGCCUUCUCCAGAGAAUGGACAACCAAGCAUAGCUGGGAAGGGCAGUCAACCAGGUUAGGUAGGGGAUCAGAGACCCAUCCUCCUGCUUUCAUUUCUACCUUCUGAAGUACCUGCUGCCUCCAAUUCAGAGGCUUUUAGGGGUGCUGUGAUAUAAGUUUUCGCUGCUGCUGGGUAAAACUUUAUUUUAGCUUUUUCAAGACUGCCAAAUUAUCACCAUUUGCUUCUCAGCUUUCAAAACUGUCACUAUUGACUCCUCCUCCCUCCAUCUCUUUUUCCCUCCUUGUAGGCAGAGUGAAGAGCUAAAUCCUUAUCUUGUAUAUUGGGAGGUCAAAUGAUAACACCGAAAAUGAACAUUCAAGAGAUGGCAUUAACACGUUACUCAGACAUAUGGAAGUAAAUAUCAUAAGGAUCAUCUAAAAUAAAAUGGUUGGUUCCCAGGAACAGGAAAUUAUGGAGUACUGAGAUAGAUGCUGUAACAAGACCUGUAGAACUAUUUGACUUUUCAAACUACAUCAUGCACACUUGAGAUGAAAAUUAAAACUUUAAAAGUAGGCAAAACUCUAUUGUAUAAAACAAACAAAAAACUGUUGUACAGAACAGGGAAUUAUAGACAUUGUUUUGUAAUAACUUUUAAUGGAGUAUAAUCUAUAAAAAUACUGAAUCACUGUGCUGUAC
Hippopotamus amphibius kiboko is the source of this 1360-nucleotide long non-coding RNA. RefSeq lists it as uncharacterized. Lineage: Eukaryota; Metazoa; Chordata; Mammalia; Artiodactyla; Hippopotamidae. The transcript has 3 exons. The record is from RefSeq and is a predicted model, not a curated record.